This 164-nucleotide non-coding RNA is filed under the name human gut metagenome. The record is from RNAcentral.
AUCGUGAGAUAUGGGAUGAAAGAAGAGCGUAGCAAAUAGACUGGGUAACGGAAAGAAACUUGAUAUAAGGCGACUAGCUAGUGAUGUGGGAGCAUUACAUUCUAAAAUCAUAAACGACCGUAAUAGCUAGCCAGUAAAUCAAGUACUCAAGGCUAGAAAGAUAU